Long non-coding RNA from Dermacentor silvarum, 743 nucleotides. RefSeq lists it as uncharacterized. The record is from RefSeq and is a predicted model, not a curated record. Lineage: Eukaryota; Metazoa; Arthropoda; Arachnida; Ixodida; Ixodidae. The transcript has 3 exons.
UUCCAAGGCAGCGUGAGCUGAGAGAAGGGUGGGCCCUAGCCGUGUGCCGCUCACCUGCGUGGGCACCAUCACAAUGGAGUGUUGUUUGCUCGGAGCACUUCAGCCAUGGUGAUUUUGCGAGCGGUACCAAAGGCCAGGGUCACUUGAUGGUGAAUGCAGUACCAUCGCUUGCGGGCCCCACUAAGACGCUUGCAAAGGUUGAUGCUACAGCAAUGAGACAACCUUCAAGUGAAGCAGCUUGAUCCACGGGAACAUCACAGAAUCAAGAUAAGCCACUAAGUCUCUCUGAAGCGACAAUAGACAUGGACAUCUCCGAGGGCUUGUCAGAUGUGCUAGCAGAGGGUGCUGCUACAACUGCCAGCUCGUCCUUCGCUGAUUCAGACAUUGGUGAUGAGCCUUCCGAAAUCCAACAUGUCCUGGUAUGUUUGAUUGUGGUAAUGAUCACAGGGUUUGCUUUUUUCAUGUGUGUGCCUUGGUUCAUUCAUGCUGUGCUCCGCUUUCAAUAAUCUGGUGUUUCCCUGUAAUGUAUAUUUUGGAUUUCACCUUUAAAGUAAUUAUUGCAGUUUCAAAAAUGCAUGAGACUUUGUCACACAGUUUUUUGUAAGAUGUUUUCGACCGAUUUUAAGAUAUCUAAUAGUAAUGCUCUGAAUGAAUAAAAAGAUAGAACUGAUCAACCUGUCAUUAGCUACAUUACAGCCCUUUUUUGACACAGGUGACAAGCAUACUGCAUGAGUUGUGUGUUC